GGGCCCUUAGCUCAGCUUGGUUAGAGCAGCGGACUCAUAAUCCGUAGGUCCUGGGUUCAAAUCCCAGAGGGCCCA
This 75-nucleotide transfer RNA is filed under the name compost metagenome. RNAcentral's name for it is "tRNA-Met". It matches the Rfam family "tRNA". From Rfam's summary of the family: Transfer RNA (tRNA) molecules are approximately 80 nucleotides in length. Their secondary structure includes four short double-helical elements and three loops (D, anti-codon, and T loops). Further hydrogen bonds mediate the characteristic L-shaped molecular structure. tRNAs have two regions of fundamental functional importance: the anti-codon, which is responsible for specific mRNA codon recognition, and the 3' end, to which the tRNAs corresponding amino acid is attached (by aminoacyl-tRNA synthetases). tRNAs cope with the degeneracy of the genetic code in two manners: having more than one tRNA (with a specific anti-codon) for a particular amino acid; and 'wobble' base-pairing, i.e. permitting non-standard base-pairing at the 3rd anti-codon position. The record is from RNAcentral.